Molecule: ribosomal RNA, 1263 nt
Filed under: Morimospasma tuberculatum
Lineage: Eukaryota; Metazoa; Arthropoda; Insecta; Coleoptera; Cerambycidae
Description: 16S ribosomal RNA
Rfam family: Archaeal large subunit ribosomal RNA (bases 581-1263)
Source: RNAcentral
AUUAAUAAUUAUUAUUAAAUAGUGAAAGGGUUUAGAUGGUUAUUUUGGAAAAAAAAUUAAUUUUUAGUAUAAUUAAGAAAUAAUUUAAAUUUAUGAUAAGAUAUUAGUAUUGUGAAAGAUAUAUGAAUAUAAUUUUUAAAGAAAUAUUUUAUUUUGUACCUUGUGUAUCAGGGCUUAUUAAAUAUUAAUAGGAUUUUAUAAAAUUAUAGUAUUUUAUUGUUGAAUAAAUAUAUAAAAUAUUAUUUUAGUAAUGAAACGUUAUUCGUUUUUAAAUAUAUCUAGUUAUUUAAGAAAAAAAUUAAAUUUUUUUAUUAGUAGAUUUUAAUUUAAUUUUUUAAAUUAAAAUUAAUAAUAUUUUAUUUAUAAAGGGAUAAGCUUAUAUAAAAAUUUUUAAAAAUUAAUAGUUUAAGUUAAAUUUUAAGGAUUAGAAGUGUUCAUUAAUAAAAUAAUGUUAUAAUUAAUUUAAUUGAGAAAAUUAUUUAUAUUAAUUUUAAAUGUUUUAUUAAAUUAUAGUUUUUAAUUAAAAAUAUUUAGUAAUAGUGAUAAGAUUAGUAAAUUUUAAAUAUAAAUUUAUUAUAAAUAAGUUAGGUUAAUUUAAAGGAAUUCGGCAAAAGAUUUUUCACCUGUUUAUUAAAAACAUGGCCUUUUGCUUAUGAUUUAAGGUCUAGCCUGCCCACUGAUAUUUAAAGGGCCGCGGUAUACUGACCGUGCUAAGGUAGCAUAAUCAUUAGUUUUUUAAUUGAAAGCUGGAAUGAAUGGUUGAAUGAAAAAAUAACUGUCUCUAUUUAAUUUUUAUAGAACUUUAUUUUUAAGUUAAAAAGCUUAAAUAAUGUUAAAAGACGAGAAGACCCUAUAGAGUUUAAUAGAAUUUAAUUUUUAAAUUUUUAGAAUUAUAAUUUUAAUUUUUAAUUUCUAUUUGAUUGGGGCGAUUGUAAAAUUUAAUUAACUUUUAUUUUUAAUAAACAUUAAUAUAUGAAAAUUUGAUCCAUAAAUUAUGAUUAUAAGAUUAAAUUACCUUAGGGAUAACAGCGUUAUUUUUUUUGAGAGUUCAAAUCGAAAAAAAAGUUUGCGACCUCGAUGUUGGAUUAAAAUUAAUUUUUGGUGUAGAGGCUAAAAAUAUUAGGUCUGUUCGACCUUUAAAAUUUUACAUGAUCUGAGUUUAAACCGGUGUGAGCCAGGUUGGUUUCUAUCUUUAAUAAAAAUAGUAUAUUUUAGUACGAAAGGACCAAGUAUAUAAUAAAUUAUUUAUCUUUGAGUAAAAUU